This 500-nucleotide ribosomal RNA is filed under the name uncultured bacterium. RNAcentral describes it as "partial 16S ribosomal RNA". It matches the Rfam family "Bacterial small subunit ribosomal RNA", at positions 30 to 523 of the family's 1533-position model. The record is from RNAcentral.
AUUGAACGCUGGCGGCAUGCCUUACACAUGCAAGUCGAACGGCAGCACGGGAGCAAUCCUGGUGGCGAGUGGCGAACGGGUGAGUAAUGUAUCGGAACGUGCCCAGUCGUGGGGGAUAACGUAGCGAAAGCUACGCUAAUACCGCAUACGAUCUAUGGAUGAAAGCGGGGGAUCGCAAGACCUCGCGCGAUUGGAGCGGCCGAUAUCAGAUUAGGUAGUUGGUGGGGUAAAGGCUCACCAAGCCGACGAUCUGUAGCUGGUCUGAGAGGACGACCAGCCACAUUGGGACUGAGACACGGCCCAGACUCCUACGGGAGGCAGCAGUGGGGAAUUUUGGACAAUGGGCGCAAGCCUGAUCCAGCAAUGCCGCGUGCAGGAUGAAGGCCUUCGGGUUGUAAACUGCUUUUGUACGGAACGAAACGGCGAGCUCUAAUACAGUUUGCUAAUGACGGUACCGUAAGAAUAAGCACCGGCUAACUACGUGCCAGCAGCCGCUGUAA